UUCUGUCUUUGCCCCUCUGGACAAUCACCUUACCACUCUCACCGAAUCCAUUCAAUGCUUUCACCAUUCCGUUGCACUUACCUAAAUCAUUGAAUCCUUCACUUUCAACCAUUCACCUUCAACAAACAAUCCCAAAAUUUUCUUAUCUUCUUCCCUUUCUUUCAAUUAAAGCUUAUCUUCAGGCAUUUUUCCAGAAAGAAAAUUUUUCUUCUCCCAUCGAAUACAAAGAAAAAAAAAUACCUCCAUGUUUUGAAAAACCAUUACAAAAACAAAAAAAAAAAAAAUUGAUGCACCGUGUGGAUAUUUCGCGGAGGCGCCAGGUAGGAUGGUAGUGAUAUUCCCGACAGUAGUUAUUGCUAGGAAUAAGAAAGGAUCCAGUGUGACACGUGUUCUUGCAAAAUAUUGAUCGAAGGGUGAAGAAGGUUUUCGUUGAGGAGUUUUUGAGCACGAAGUACUUGGUGAAAAGCAUGGAGAAACUGGCAUUUCAAGAUUCCACCCAUUACUAACAUUAGGAGUCAUGAUUGUGCUCGAUUUUGGUAAAAUGCACUCCUUCAGUCUGUUGCUUUUAUUUUAUUUUUUUUUAAAUUUAAUUUAUUACUACUAUUAUUUAUAGGAUUUUUUUUAAUUUUAAAUUAUCAUCCCUUAAAAAAUAGGGAUAUCAUAAUCAUGAUAACUGAUAUACUUUAAAAUAAUUUUUGUUUUUACUGAGGCAACUAGGUUAGGGUUUUUCUUUUUUUUUUUUUAAUUACUACAGUAUUUUUAAAAUAAAAGUUGGCCUUUUUUUAUUGAUAGUGGAAGCUGAUUGAUGGAGUUGGAUAUGGUGAUCGUGGUUUUUUUUUUUUUUAUUUUCACUUAUUUUUGUACUAUUUGAAAUUGUAAUAUUUGACUUAAUGAAAUAUCAUUGUCCUGUCUGUCCGCAUUUGAUUGUUUACAUACACUAAAAAUCUCCAAUUUUUUGUGUGAAAAUUUAAUUUUUUGUAGCUUUAUAGUGUUAUGGUGGUAGAGUUGCAUUGGCAUCAACGCACAUAUAAAGGGAUUGGUUGCUGAUAAGUUUUGCGGUAAAAUGAUAGGAAUAGGAAAAGGAAGAGGAUAGGGGGCAAGAAUUAUUUUCUCAUAUGAAAAUGUAUAUGAAAUUUGGUGAACUUUAUCAUCCAAACAAUUUGCAAUCAUAAAUUAAUUUCUUAAUUUAUAUUGCAUCUCAAGUUGAUUCUUCAUUUUGGUUAUUUUUUUGAAAUAAAAAUUUUAUUUCUUACUUUGAAAGCUUCAAUCUUAGAAUUUAAUCCAUAUUGGAAUAAUGUCUACAUCUAAAAUUGUUUAGUGUUUCAGAAAGAAAAUUAUUAGUUUGCUUGGAACGCUGUGAUUUUCAGUUCAUUAAAGUUUGUUUCCUUUUAAUAUAAUUCUAUUUAUUUACCUUUCUACUAACCUUUUACUGACCUUUACAACUAAAAUUUGCUUUUGUGACAGUUUCAUAAGCAUUAUUGUAAUCUGCUUUCUUACUUUUCAGCCGAAUGAUAUGGAAUUAAAACAAAAAUUAAUACAUGGUGCCGCAAAGGAUGUAACUUUUGGGGUUUGGAGCAAGUUGUGGCAAUCAAAGUAAUAGCAGAUCAAUGUGCAUUCUAUAAUUACAGAUUUCUAGGGUGGCAGGAUACUCUUUACUUGCAUUACGGUAGAAUAUUUUUGCUAAAAGCAUACAGGUAAACUUGCUGCCAUAUUCAAUCAUAAAUGACAUAUUACAAGUACUGUUUUCACUUUAGGUGUGAAUAAAUGUUUUUAAUCUGCUUCAUGAAAUUUAUGAUUCCUCAUAAGAAGCCUAAAUAUGUUUUUUGCUUUUUUAGGUAAAUUAACAUAUAAAAGUGAUAUCUAUGCAUUUGGUGUUGUACUGCUGGAACUACUCUUAGGAAGAAAGCCUAUAGAAAAACUGGCACCAACCCAGUGCCAAUCUAUUGUCACAUGGGGCAACACGUGGGCAUUCCACUAGUACAUCAUAAAUCUUACUUUUCUUAGUGGGAAAUAUCAAAGAACUUUGAUUUAUACG
Non-coding RNA from Durio zibethinus, 2035 nucleotides. NCBI's taxonomy places the organism in Eukaryota, Viridiplantae, Streptophyta, Magnoliopsida, Malvales, Malvaceae. The record is from RefSeq and is a predicted model, not a curated record.